UACGUAUGGUGCAAGCGUUAUCCGGAUUUACUGGGUGUAAAGGGUGCGUAGGUGGUAUGGCAAGUCAGAAGUGAAAGGCUGGGGCUCAACCCCGGGACUGCUUUUGAAACUGUCAAACUAGAGUACAGGAGAGGAAAGCGGAAUUCCUAGUGUAGCGGUGAAAUGCGUAGAUAUUAGGAGGAACACCAGUGGCGAAGGCGGCUUUCUGGACUGAAACUGACACUGAGGCACGAAAGCGUGGGGAGCAAACAGGAUUAGAUACCCGUGUAGGCUGACUGACU
This 281-nucleotide ribosomal RNA is filed under the name Eubacterium ruminantium. RNAcentral's name for it is "partial 16S ribosomal RNA". It matches the Rfam family "Bacterial small subunit ribosomal RNA", at positions 524 to 805 of the family's 1533-position model. The record is from RNAcentral. Lineage: Bacteria; Bacillati; Bacillota; Clostridia; Eubacteriales; Eubacteriaceae.